RNAcentral lists this ribosomal RNA (750 nucleotides) under Enterobacter kobei. Its description in RNAcentral is "partial 23S ribosomal RNA". It matches the Rfam family "Bacterial large subunit ribosomal RNA", at positions 439 to 1191 of the family's 2925-position model. Lineage: Bacteria; Pseudomonadati; Pseudomonadota; Gammaproteobacteria; Enterobacterales; Enterobacteriaceae. The record is from RNAcentral.
UGAAUAUGGGGGGACCAUCCUCCAAGGCUAAAUACUCCUGACUGACCGAUAGUGAACCAGUACCGUGAGGGAAAGGCGAAAAGAACCCCGGCGAGGGGAGUGAAAAAGAACCUGAAACCGUGUACGUACAAGCAGUGGGAGCCUACUUGUUAGGUGACUGCGUACCUUUUGUAUAAUGGGUCAGCGACUUAUAUUCUGUAGCAAGGUUAACCGUAUAGGGGAGCCGAAGGGAAACCGAGUCUUAACUGGGCGUUAAGUUGCAGGGUAUAGACCCGAAACCCGGUGAUCUAGCCAUGGGCAGGUUGAAGGUUGGGUAACACUAACUGGAGGACCGAACCGACUAAUGUUGAAAAAUUAGCGGAUGACCUGUGGCUGGGGGUGAAAGGCCAAUCAAACCGGGAGAUAGCUGGUUCUCCCCGAAAGCUAUUUAGGUAGCGCCUCGUGAACUCAUCUUCGGGGGUAGAGCACUGUUUCGGCUAGGGGGCCAUCCCGGCUUACCAACCCGAUGCAAACUACGAAUACCGAAGAAUGUUAUCACGGGAGACACACGGCGGGUGCUAACGUCCGUCGUGAAGAGGGAAACAACCCAGACCGCCAGCUAAGGUCCCAAAGUCAUGGUUAAGUGGGAAACGAUGUGGGAAGGCACAGACAGCCAGGAUGUUGGCUUAGAAGCAGCCAUCAUUUAAAGAAAGCGUAAUAGCUCACUGGUCGAGUCGGCCUGCGCGGAAGAUGUAACGGGGCUAAACCAUG